This 401-nucleotide unclassified non-coding RNA is filed under the name soil metagenome. RNAcentral's name for it is "partial contains 5.8S ribosomal RNA, internal transcribed spacer 2, and large subunit ribosomal RNA". The stretch from base 1 to 121 matches the Rfam family "5.8S ribosomal RNA", at positions 35 to 154 of the family's 154-position model. The record is from RNAcentral.
GAUGAAGAACGCAGCGAAAUGUGAUAAGUAAUGUGAAUUGCAGAAUUCAGUGAAUCAUCGAAUCUUUGAACGCACCUUGCGCCCUUUGGCCAUUCCGAAGGGCAUGCCUGUUUGAGUAUCAUGAACACCUCAACUCUCAUGGCUCGCCAUGAUGAGCUUGGAUUUGGGGGUCUUGCUGGCCUGUGGUCGGCUCCUCUCAAAUGGAUCAGCUUGCCAGUGUUUGGUGGCAUCACAGGUGUGAUAACUAUCUGCGCUUGUGGUUUUCCAUCAGAUAACCUUCAGUGAUGGAGGUUCGCUGGAGCUCAUAAACGUCUCCCCUAAGCGGGGACAGCCCUUUGAAUGUUUGAUCUCAAAUCAGGUAGGACUACCCGCUGAACUUAAGCAUAUCAAUAAGCGGAGGA